UCGGGGACUCUGACUCGCGGGCAUGCGUGCCUUCGACGGGCACAGUUUAUGCAGGCGUGCAUUCAUUUACAAUUCAAGUCGGCUUCGAGACUGGCGUAUCUGCCACACUUCCUGUGCAUUUCCUGCACGAAGCCGUCAAACCCGCCUUCCCGCGCCGGCUGGGAGAUCUCUGCUUUCGCCCGCACCAGUUGAAAUCCGGAUUUCCCAAGACAGUGCUGGGCUCCUGGCUGAUCAACAAAACAUCGGGAAGCAGGAGAUCAGAGCCUAUCCAACGAAACUAGGCAGCACCCUGGGAAAAACUCCAACAAUGCCAGAGAAGGAAGGCAAAAGAGGACAGUUCUGAUCUACAGGGCUGGAGAGGAAGGGCAUCGCAGAUAAGGCAUCCUGGCCCAUGCGGCAGAGACAGCAUCGCCGGUACAGCCACUUUCUGGAGCUCAGGAUACAGGAUGCAGGGAGAGCAUCCUUUUCCUUCGUGGGUGGUCUUGGAGGAUACUUCUCGAGAGAUACGGACCUCAGUCAUCCUCCUACCUGAAAGCUCCUGGGCAUUCCAGGUUUCAGUGUGAAAGUUUUAAAGAUUAAAAAGCCCAGAGGGGAUUACUGUGAAGUGCGGUAAUCAAGACGACCUAGCACUGGCAUAAGGAUGGGUGUGAAGAUCAGUGAACUAGAACCAAGAGUCCAGAAAUGAGCGCAGACAAUUGACUUUUGACAGGGUGCCAAGUCAAUGAAAUGGGGGAAAGCAUAGUCUUUUUCACCAGUAAUGCUGGCACAAUGAGAGAAGAAUGAAGUUG
Mustela erminea (ermine) is the source of this 788-nucleotide long non-coding RNA. RefSeq lists it as uncharacterized. The transcript is spliced from 4 exons. Lineage: Eukaryota; Metazoa; Chordata; Mammalia; Carnivora; Mustelidae. The record is from RefSeq and is a predicted model, not a curated record.